Molecule: ribosomal RNA, 541 nt
Filed under: Sticta sp. TW-2018b
Lineage: Eukaryota; Fungi; Ascomycota; Lecanoromycetes; Peltigerales; Lobariaceae
Description: eukaryotic LSU rRNA
Rfam family: Eukaryotic large subunit ribosomal RNA
Source: RNAcentral
AGUGAAGCGGCAACAGCUCAAAUUUGAAAUCUGGCCUCUUCGGGGUCCGAGUUGUAAUUUGUAGAGGGUGUUUCGGGCGCGAUGCCGGUCUAAGUUCCUUGGAACAGGACGUCGCAGAGGGUGAGAAUCCCGUACGUGACCGGCGAUCAAGUCUGUGUGAAGCCCCUUCGACGAGUCGAGUUGUUUGGGAAUGCAGCUCAAAAUGGGUGGUAAAUUUCAUCUAAAGCUAAAUAUUGGCCAGAGACCGAUAGCGGACAAGUAGAGUGAUCGAAAGAUGAAAAGCACUUUGGAAAGAGAGUCAAACAGUACGUGAAAUUGUUGAAAGGGAAGCGCUUGCAAUCAGACCGGUCCGGAGGCGAUCAGCCGCUGCUCGUUCAGCGGUGCACUCGCCUGCGAUCCGGCCAGCAUCGGUUUGGGCGGUGGGAUAAAAGUCCCGGGAAUGUAGCUUCUCUUGGGGAGUCUUAUAGCCCGGGUCGCAAUGCCGCCCGCCCGGACCGAGGACCGCGCUUCGGCUAGGAUGCUGGCGUAAUGGUUGCAAGCG